Long non-coding RNA from Columba livia (rock pigeon), 4236 nucleotides. RefSeq lists it as uncharacterized. NCBI's taxonomy places the organism in Eukaryota, Metazoa, Chordata, Aves, Columbiformes, Columbidae. The record is from RefSeq and is a predicted model, not a curated record. The transcript has 3 exons.
GCCAGCAAUCCACUGAGCCCAAACUCGGCGUCAGACAAAGGACAGUUCAUCCCAUCCCUCUCCCGGGGAGUCAAGAGAGGAGGCCCAGACAAGCCAGGGUUCCCCAGGCCGCCGCCAGAACCCCGGGGGUGCGCCCGGGCGGGGAGAGGCGCCGGGGUGUGCCUGCCCCUGUGUAUGACAGGGGGCACAGGAGCAUCACCCCGGCUGUACCCCCUGGGUAUGCACCGGGACUGGGGCCAUGGCGACAGAAAGCCCCGGCGAGGGGCAUUUCCUAGCCGGACCUGGCUGCUCUCUCCCGGAAGGGGUGCCAGGAUCUCUCCGACCUGCCCAACACCACCUUGAGCUGGGAGGAGGACAAAUUAAGCAGGGAGAGGAACCGGCAUGGAAACCGAACCGAGCUGACUCGGAGCGGAGAGAGGUGCCAGAGCCCAGGCUGCCCGACCAGCGCCGGCGGAGUGAAUUUCCAUCACUGUCCGGCAUCCCGCCUGCCUGGAGCUGCUGCUGCGCUGUCCGCCCGAGUCCUCCUGGCCCUGCAGGUUAUCGUAGCCCCGCGGCAGCUCCUCCAAGAAAAGGGUGGGUGGACCGACCUGGGAAAUAGCCUUCCACCUCUUGUGUCCAAGACUUUCGGCAAAAGAAAGGGACCUCGGGGAGAAUCUGUUACUGCGGGUUGAAAGAAAUAACAUUAAUGCUUGUCUAGAGGGAGACGAGGAAAAAAGGGAAGAAAAUUAAAAGCUCUGGCUUUUUUUUUUUUUUUUCUUUCUUCUUCCACGGUGUGGAAGUUGUCAGAAGAGACAAAGCCGAGGUUUUCAGCCACCCCAGAGUCGCGGAAAGUCCCUGAAACCUUUCAAGUGAAAUGAGCAGGAGCCGGUCCUCAGAGCCUCUGAGAGGACGCGGGGAGCGGCCGGGCAACGGCUGCAGGGCAGCCCGUUAGUCGGCAGCGGCCGCCGGGCAGCGGGCAGGGGUAGGCAGCCAGUGGGGGCCCCGGCCACCCUGUCUCCGGCACCCACGCACCCUCCCCGGCGUGCAGGGAGCAGCUUUACCGAACAAACUGUUCUAUUGUACUGCAAGCCCUUUACCAACCCCCAAACCUGUUACAAAACAGCAACCCCGUGCUUCUUUCUUUGCGGAGAAGAAGACGCACACUCACGCACACGCACAAAACAUGGCAGGCAGGAGCAGGGGGAGAAGAAAGGAGUGGGAGGGCAACAGGGAGGAAGACUAGACAGAGAGGUCGGCUUGCAAAUGUGGAUGUACUUUCUUCACAUACGUGUAGAGAUGAGCCAGAGAACUUUGCACACACAGAGCUGAAGUCUCCACCUGGGCACUUUUCAUGAGCGAGCUGCUGUUAUUCACCUUCAGCCUUACAGCAUCAUCCAUCAAGCCCAAAGACAGAACUCCUCUGGGACACGCAAAACUGGACAUGGGAACUCCCUGGGUGAGGGUUGAAGCCAGCAGAGGGAGGAUGGAUGCCGAGGCUGCUCUGCUCUUGCUUUGACCUCUUGUUGGCCCUCAGUGAAUCUCUUCAUUUUCUUUAGCAAACAGGCAAAAAGGAGACAACCACUGAGGAAGGGAUGAUUACUAGGUAGCGAAGGAGGAAACUGUGGAAUGGGUAAACAGCAUGGCCAUGCUAAUUAUUCUUAGCAGCUUUUAGUCCUCCUCUUCUUUUAAACAUGCUUUUUCACCCUGUGGCAACACUCAGCUGCCUUAUUCUGGCCCUGCAGUACUGAGAUUGGAUUUACCACCUUAUGGAGGUGAGGUGGAUGGAAUACAAAACUUCUUUUCUACUAAAUGACCAAACACAAACCGUUGUUUUUGAUCCUUGCUCAUUCUUCAAAGAUCAACCAGAGAAGGGAACAGGAUGCAUACAAAAUGCCAUUAAACCUGUGAGCAUCUCUUGGUAGGUGCUGUUCAAAUGGCUUUUGAACGUUUCAGCAUAUCUUUAGUUCUCUUUGAUUUUUCUGAGGUCAUACGGGUGGUUACUGACAGAAUUAUACAAAUACAGUCUUCACAGCUCAGCAAUCCUUGGAUCCAGAUUUGGAGUUCAAUGUGGGUGGCAUAGAAGCAAAUGCCAAUAAGAAGGCUAGGACAGGGCUGUUACUUACAGAAACUAAAUGACGCAGUAUAGAGCCUUUGCAAGCCGCAAUUAAAGAGCCGGGAGAAUAUUUUGUAACUAUUAAAGUGUAAGGGGGAAACCUCAGCCUUUUGUAAUGCUGUUUUAUUUUCUUUCUUUAAUGCAUGUUUUAAUCUUGCCUUGAGACGUAUUUCUGUAACUUAAUGUCAACCAGAAUCAAUCAGUAACUUUCAAGUCUUCUGCUGCUAGGGCCAUUUGCAACUCUGCUGCGGGAACAACUUUCAGCUUAUUUUAGGGUCAAGACUUUAGACCUCAACAACUGCAUGUUCCCUUUGUCCAGAGAGCCUCUGUAGUGCCUAGAGAUAGAUUUUACUAAACUUCCUAUAGACUUUACACUGGUUUUGUAUGGUUAACUUAUCACACAAUGACAAGGUAUUGUCCAAAAACUUUUAAAUAAAAGCCAUCACACUGACACACUGCGGAUCAAUACAGAGUUACGCAAACCUCCGAGACAAUAAGAGCUGUUGGGUAAAGCACUGAAUAGAGACCCAGGAAAGUUGUAAGUUAUCGUGCCGUCUCUGCCACUGUCCUGCUAAUGCUGCUGGGUUUGCAGGAUGUCUCGGUUUUUCAAGUUUCCCAUCUGUUGAAUGGGGAUGUGGUACUCACAGGCAAUCUCAGUGUAGCUGAAGGCACAUUUUGGAAUGCAAGCACACAGAGCAAUCAUUGAGUGUCAAGUACACAUGCACAGGCUACAGUUCAUAUUGUGGGAAGUACUGGGACGAGUUACCAGAAAGAAAAAAAAUAAAAAUUACCCUAUGAAAAACCUCAAAAAAUCUGAUUACAAAGUAAAACAGAGAAAUAUGGGUUUGCUACAUUACUUUAGACCGCUACGAUAACAAAAUAGUUUUGUGUGCAUUUACGCAUGUGUGUAUGGACAUACAUAUGUGUGUUUGGAUGGGUGCAGGGGUGGAUGUAUAUGCAUAUACAUAUAUACAAAAAUAGGUAUAUGCAUAUAUAUACACACACUACUGCAGUGGUGUAUCUAUGCCAUAUCUAUUCUUUUGCUUAUACAACAGCACAUGUAUAAUACAGACAAUAGCUGAGCAGGAACCAAAAGCAUUUACUGACAGCAAUAAAAGGGAUUUGUGUUUUAGAAACAGAAAAGCCAUUUUUGACUUUUACACUUUUUCUGAUCAAUCCAUAGUGUUAAAUAUUUCUGAAUUGUCUGGUUACCAAGUUUCAGUCAUGUAAAUUUGGUCACUGAUCAGACCAUAAUAUAUACAUAUUUUAUGGGAUUCAUACCUUCAGAUUUCUCUGAGCUAUUAAUGAAAAAAACAAGAAUAAAAAAUUGCUAUAAGGAGUUCCAUAGGGAGGGAGGAAUGACCCCAGAUUUACACUGUGAACUGUCCUGCAAUCAUUGUCAUGACUGAAUUUUCAAGACAACUGUCACAUCCCAGUGGAUUUCAGAGCAUAUUAAGUGCAGUCCUUCCUGGGAAGGCUGAAAAGAAGGGGUAUUACCUGAAGACCCGCCACACCAACUGACUUCAGACUUGCAUGGGUAAUGUUGCCCCUGGCUCUGAUGAGGUAUAACAAUUUUCAAAACAUGUCAGAGAUGCCUGUGGAUUUUAGAACACUUUGAAAUCCAAGUCUUAAAUGAGAAGUUUUGCUCCCAGGGCAUAACUUUGAAAACAGAGUGCAGGAAGACAGCAAAUGAGUCACAGCAAAGCCCUCUGGAAGCUCUGAAGAGCACAAUUUUGAUAUAAGAAUCUGAGCAAUGGAAAGGAUUCAGUUCUUGUUCUUUUGAAGCAUUCUGAAGUAUUGAUCCCCUCCAGUACAGCUCAUGGUAUGCUUGUGCUCCUCCACACAUAAAAAUUAAUAAAUGAUCCUUUGAACACAGUAAGACUUGCCAGAUAUUAGUGCUGGGAUAUUUUUUUAAAGGUGAGCUUUACUUCUUAAACAACUUGUACCCUAGAAAUUGAUGGGAUUCUCCAAUUUGUCAUCAUCACCCAACAAACUUUUGAAUUUUAGAGCUCCCAAAAAAAUCAGCUGUCCUACAGAAUGCUAUUUUCACCAUAAACUCCAAUAGUACAUCAUUGCACCAUUAAACACGCUGCUUUCAAGAUGCGUUGUCAAUGGUUUUCAAAUACACAUUAUUUUUUACACCC